GGGAGUCUGGCCGAGUGGUUAAGGCGCUGUGUUUAGGUCUAGGCUGGGCUUCGAGUCCGCCCUAACCGUAAAUCCCGCAGUGGGAAACCGCGCAGGUUCGAAUCCUGCGGCUCUCA
RNAcentral lists this transfer RNA (116 nucleotides) under Xylaria venustula. RNAcentral describes it as "tRNA-Leu". It matches the Rfam family "tRNA". Rfam says of the family: Transfer RNA (tRNA) molecules are approximately 80 nucleotides in length. Their secondary structure includes four short double-helical elements and three loops (D, anti-codon, and T loops). Lineage: Eukaryota; Fungi; Ascomycota; Sordariomycetes; Xylariales; Xylariaceae. The record is from RNAcentral.